RNAcentral lists this ribosomal RNA (1251 nucleotides) under Streptococcus constellatus. RNAcentral's name for it is "bacterial SSU rRNA". It matches the Rfam family "Bacterial small subunit ribosomal RNA", at positions 93 to 1333 of the family's 1533-position model. Lineage: Bacteria; Bacillati; Bacillota; Bacilli; Lactobacillales; Streptococcaceae. The record is from RNAcentral.
GAGUUGCGAACGGGUGAGUAACGCGUAGGUAACCUGCCUGGUAGCGGGGGAUAACUAUUGGAAACGAUAGCUAAUACCGCAUAAGAACAUUUACUGCAUGGUAGAUGUUUAAAAGGUGCAAGAGCAUCACUACCAGAUGGACCUGCGUUGUAUUAGCUAGUUGGUGAGGUAACGGCUCACCAAGGCAACGAUACAUAGCCGACCUGAGAGGGUGAUCGGCCACACUGGGACUGAGACACGGCCCAGACUCCUACGGGAGGCAGCAGUAGGGAAUCUUCGGCAAUGGGGGAAACCCUGACCGAGCAACGCCGCGUGAGUGAAGAAGGUUUUCGGAUCGUAAAGCUCUGUUGUUAAGGAAGAACGUGUGUGAGAGUGGAAAGUUCACACAGUGACGGUACUUAACCAGAAAGGGACGGCUAACUACGUGCCAGCAGCCGCGGUAAUACGUAGGUCUCGAGCGUUGUCCGGAUUUAUUGGGCGUAAAGCGAGCGCAGGCGGUUAGAUAAGUCUGAAGUGAAAGGCAGUGGCUCAACCAUUGUAGGCUUUGGAAACUGUUUAACUUGAGUGCAGAAGGGGAGAGUGGAAUUCCAUGUGUAGCGGUGAAAUGCGUAGAUAUAUGGAGGAACACCGGUGGCGAAAGCGGCUCUCUGGUCUGUAACUGACGCUGAGGCUCGAAAGCGUGGGGAGCGAACAGGAUUAGAUACCCUGGUAGUCCACGCCGUAAACGAUGAGUGCUAGGUGUUAGGUCCUUUCCGGGACUUAGUGCCGCAGCUAACGCAUUAAGCACUCCGCCUGGGGAGUACGACCGCAAGGUUGAAACUCAAAGGAAUUGACGGGGGCCCGCACAAGCGGUGGAGCAUGUGGUUUAAUUCGAAGCAACGCGAAGAACCUUACCAGGUCUUGACAUCCCUCUGACCACUCUAGAGAUAGAGUUUCCCUUCGGGGCAGAGGUGACAGGUGGUGCAUGGUUGUCGUCAGCUCGUGUCGUGAGAUGUUGGGUUAAGUCCCGCAACGAGCGCAACCCUUAUUGUUAGUUGCCAUCAUUCAGUUGGGCACUCUAGCGAGACUGCCGGUAAUAAACCGGAGGAAGGUGGGGAUGACGUCAAAUCAUCAUGCCCCUUAUGACCUGGGCUACACACGUGCUACAAUGGCUGGUACAACGAGUCGCAAGCCGGUGACGGCAAGCUAAUCUCUGAAAGCCAGUCUCAGUUCGGAUUGUAGGCUGCAACUCGCCUACAUGAAGUCGGAAUC